UCCUAUGGAUACCUAUAAAGGCCGAAUAUUUGUGUGACUCAAAAAGGAGCCAAAAAGAUAUCCACAAUCAUCAAUUAUGGUGAAUAACUACCCGCACAAAGGUAAAGAUGAGAUCUUCAUUGUUUUGCUUUAAUAAAAUUUUAUUUGUUGUAUAUAGAUCUUAAAAACAUAAUAGGGAUGAUAUCAUGAGAUAAGACCUAGA
Molecule: long non-coding RNA, 202 nt
Filed under: Elaeis guineensis (African oil palm)
Lineage: Eukaryota; Viridiplantae; Streptophyta; Magnoliopsida; Arecales; Arecaceae
Description: long non-coding RNA (EGUI_LNC039731)
Source: RNAcentral